GAUGAACGCUGGCGGCGGGCCUAAUACAUGCAAGUCGAGCGAACAGACGAGGAUCUCUCCCUAUCGACGUUGGCGACGGACGGGUGAGUAACAUGUAGCUAACCUUCAUCUGAGGCUUGGCCAACAUCGGGUAGCAGGAACUACUAAUGGAUAAUAAGGCGAACAUUAUCGAUCGUUAGAAAAUGAAGACUUUGAUGAUGGUCAUAGAUGGCACUGCGCCGUAUUAGCGAGUAGGUAAGGUAACGGCUAACCAAGGCAACGAUACGUAGCCGAGCUGAGAGGGUGAUCGGCCACACUGGAACUGAGACACGGUCCAGACUCCUACGGGAGGCAGCAGUAGGGAAUCUUCCGCAAUGGGCGAAAGCCUGACGGAGCAACGCCGCGUGAGUGAUGAAGGUCUUCGGAUCGUAAAACUCUGUUAUUAGGGAAGAACAAACGUGUAAGUAACUGUGCACGUCUUGACGGUACCUAAUCAGAAAGCCACGGCUAACUACGUG
This 497-nucleotide ribosomal RNA is filed under the name uncultured bacterium. Its description in RNAcentral is "partial 16S ribosomal RNA". It matches the Rfam family "Bacterial small subunit ribosomal RNA", at positions 28 to 507 of the family's 1533-position model. The record is from RNAcentral.